AAAAGUCGUAACAAGGUCUCCGUUGGUGAACCAGCGGAGGGAUCAUUACCGAGUUAUUACUCCAAACCCUUUGUGAACCUUACCUUUGUUCUGUUGCCUCGGCGGGGAGAAAGCCUCUCAGGAGGCCCAACCUCGCCGGCAGCACCAAACUCUUGCAUUUAAUAGCGGAUUACACUUCUGAAUAAAACACAAAACAAAUUAAAACUUUCAACAACGGAUCUCUUGGUUCUG
This 231-nucleotide unclassified non-coding RNA is filed under the name Pseudallescheria africana. RNAcentral's name for it is "Petriellopsis africana partial internal transcribed spacer region". The stretch from base 1 to 48 matches the Rfam family "Eukaryotic small subunit ribosomal RNA", at positions 1784 to 1831 of the family's 1831-position model. The record is from RNAcentral. Lineage: Eukaryota; Fungi; Ascomycota; Sordariomycetes; Microascales; Microascaceae.